Molecule: transfer RNA, 95 nt
Filed under: Alienimonas californiensis
Lineage: Bacteria; Pseudomonadati; Planctomycetota; Planctomycetia; Planctomycetales; Planctomycetaceae
Description: Planctomycetes bacterium CA12 tRNA-Gly
Source: RNAcentral
GGGGCGGUCAGCGGGGUGCGGGGGCGGUUCAUGCCGCUUCCGUCGGCAUGUCCGGCAGAACCGUCGGCGCCGGAUCCUCCCCCCACACCGCACCG